UGGGGAAUUUUGGACAAUGGGCGAAAGCCUGAUCCAGCAAUGCCGCGUGUGUGAAGAAGGCCUUCGGGUUGUAAAGCACUUUUGUCCGGAAAGAAAUGGCUCUGGUUAAUACCUGGGGUCGAUGACGGUACCGGAAGAAUAAGGACCGGCUAACUACGUGCCAGCAGCCGCGGUAAUACGUAGGGUCCAAGCGUUAAUCGGAAUUACUGGGCGUAAAGCGUGCGCAGGCGGUUGUGCAAGACCGAUGUGAAAUCCCCGAGCUUAACUUGGGAAUUGCAUUGGUGACUGCACGGCUAGAGUGUGUCAGAGGGGGUAGAAUUCCACGUGUAGCAGUGAAAUGCGUAGAGAUGUGGAGGAAUACCGAUGGCGAAGGCAGCCCCCUGGGAUAACACUGACGCUCAUGCACGAAAGCGUGGGAGCAAACAGGAUUAGAUACCCUGGUAGUCCACGCCCUAAACGAUGUCAACUAGUUGUUGGGGAUUCAUUUCCUUAGUAACGUAGCUAACGCGUGAAGUU
Molecule: ribosomal RNA, 516 nt
Filed under: uncultured bacterium
Lineage: Bacteria
Description: partial 16S ribosomal RNA
Rfam family: Bacterial small subunit ribosomal RNA
Source: RNAcentral